GGGAAUUUUGGACAAUGGGCGAAAGCCUGAUCCAGCAAUGCCGCGUGUGUGAAGAAGGCCUUCGGGUUGUAAAGCACUUUUGUCCGGAAAGAAAUCCUUGGCUCUAAUACAGUCGGGGGAUGACGGUACCGGAAGAAUAAGCACCGGCUAACUACGUGCCAGCAGCCGCGGUAAUACGUAGGGUGCGAGCGUUAAUCGGAAUUACUGGGCGUAAAGCGUGCGCAGGCGGUUUGCUAAGACCGAUGUGAAAUCCCCGGGCUCAACCUGGGAACUGCAUUGGUGACUGGCAGGCUAGAGUAUGGCAGAGGGGGGUAGAAUUCCACGUGUAGCAGUGAAAUGCGUAGAGAUGUGGAGGAAUACCGAUGGCGAAGGCAGCCCCCUGGGCCAAUACUGACGCUCAUGCACGAAAGCGUGGGGAGCAAACAGGAUUAGAUACCCUGGUAGUCCACGCCCUAAACGAUGUCAACUAGUUGUUGGGGAUUCAUUUCCUUAGUAACGUAGCUAACGCGUGAAGUUGACCGCCUGGGGAGUACGGUCGCAAGAUUAAAACUCAAAGGAAUUGACGGGGACCCGCACAAGCGGUGGAUGAUGUGGAUUAAUUCGAUGCAACGCGAAAAACCUUACCUACCCUUGACAUGGUCGGAACCCCGCUGAGAGGUGGGAGUGCUCGAAAGAGAACCGGCGCACAGGUGCUGCAUGGCUGUCGUCAGCUCGUGUCGUGAGAUGUUGGGUUAAGUCCCGCAACGAGCGCAACCCUUGUCCUUAGUUGCUACGCAAGAGCACUCUAAGGAGACUGCCGGUGACAAACCGGAGGAAGGUGGGGAUGACGUCAAGUCCUCAUGGCCCUUAUGGGUAGGGCUUCACACGUCAUACAAUGGUCGGAACAGAGGGUUGCCAACCCGCGAGGGGGAGCUAAUCCCAGAAAACCGAUCGUAGUCCGGAUUGCACUCUGCAACUCGAGUGCAUGUAGCUGGAAUCGCUAGUAAUCGCGGAUCAGCAUGCAUAGGACAUUUCAGUCCCGGGCCUUGUACACACCGC
RNAcentral lists this ribosomal RNA (1038 nucleotides) under uncultured Burkholderia sp. RNAcentral's name for it is "bacterial SSU rRNA". It matches the Rfam family "Bacterial small subunit ribosomal RNA", at positions 357 to 1393 of the family's 1533-position model. The record is from RNAcentral. Lineage: Bacteria; Pseudomonadati; Pseudomonadota; Betaproteobacteria; Burkholderiales; Burkholderiaceae.